Molecule: unclassified non-coding RNA, 322 nt
Filed under: uncultured fungus
Lineage: Eukaryota; Fungi
Description: sequence contains ITS2
Source: RNAcentral
AACGCACCUUGCGCUCCUUGGUAUUCCUCGGAGCAUGCCUGUUUGAGUAUCAUGAAAUCCUCAAAGUAAAUCUUUUGUUAACUCAAUUGGUUCCACUUUGGUAUUGGAGGUCUUGCGGCUUCACACCUGCUCCUCUUUGUUCAUUAGCUGGAUCUCGGUGUUAUGCUUGGUUCCACUCGGCGUGAUAAGUUAUCUAUCGCUGAGGACACUGUAAAAAGUGGCCAAGGUAAAUGCAGAUGAACCGCUUCUAAUAGUCCAUUGACUUGGACAAAUAUUUUUAUGAUCUGAUCUCAAAUCAGGCAGGACUACCCGCUGAACUUAA